AUGCCUCUCUCUACCUUUUGGCUAAGAUCAAGUGUAGUAUCUGUUAAGUGUCUCAUAUGUUAGACAAUUCAUAUAAAACUUAAUGUGGAAAUUCAUAACAAAUCAAUGAUCUUUUGAUCUUCAUGAUUUUCACAAA
Molecule: small nuclear RNA, 136 nt
Filed under: Eucalyptus grandis
Lineage: Eukaryota; Viridiplantae; Streptophyta; Magnoliopsida; Myrtales; Myrtaceae
Description: U2 spliceosomal RNA
Rfam family: U2 spliceosomal RNA
About the family: U2 is a small nuclear RNA (snRNA) component of the spliceosome (involved in pre-mRNA splicing). Complementary binding between U2 snRNA (in an area lying towards the 5' end but 3' to hairpin I) and the branchpoint sequence (BPS) of the intron results the bulging out of an unpaired adenosine, on the BPS, which initiates a nucleophilic attack at the intronic 5' splice site, thus starting the first of two transesterification reactions that mediate splicing.
Source: Rfam by way of RNAcentral